GGAGGAAAAGAAACUAACAAGGAUUCCCCUAGUAGCGGCGAGCGAAGCGGGAAGAGCUCAAAUUUAUAAUCUGGCACCUUCGGUGUCCGAGUUGUAAUCUCUAGAAAUGUUUUCCGCGUUGGACCGCACACAAGUCUGUUGGAAUACAGCGGCAUAGUGGUGAGACCCCCGUAUAUGGUGCGGACGCCCAGCGCUUUGUGAUACAUUUUCGAAGAGUCGAGUUGUUUGGGAAUGCAGCUCAAAUUGGGUGGUAAAUUCCAUCUAAAGCUAAAUAUUGGCGAGAGACCGAUAGCGAACAAGUACCGUGAGGGAAAGAUGAAAAGCACUUUGGAAAGAGAGUUAACAGUACGUGAAAUUGUUGGAAGGGAAACGCUUGAAGUCAGACUUGCUUGCUGAGCAAUCGGUUUGCAGGCCAGCAUCAGUUUUCCGGGAUGGAUAAUGGUAGAGAGAAGGUAGCAGUUUCGGCUGUGUUAUAGCUCUCUGCUGGAUAC
This 491-nucleotide ribosomal RNA is filed under the name Rhodotorula mucilaginosa. Its description in RNAcentral is "eukaryotic LSU rRNA". It matches the Rfam family "Eukaryotic large subunit ribosomal RNA", at positions 52 to 534 of the family's 3401-position model. The record is from RNAcentral. Lineage: Eukaryota; Fungi; Basidiomycota; Microbotryomycetes; Sporidiobolales; Sporidiobolaceae.